UGAAGAAGAGUUUCUUUGUGCCAUU
This 25-nucleotide non-coding RNA is filed under the name Drosophila melanogaster (fruit fly). The record is from RNAcentral. Lineage: Eukaryota; Metazoa; Arthropoda; Insecta; Diptera; Drosophilidae.